RNAcentral lists this microRNA precursor (122 nucleotides) under Gossypium hirsutum (cotton). RNAcentral's name for it is "MIR7504 microRNA precursor family". It matches the Rfam family "MIR7504 microRNA precursor family". RNAcentral also lists the same sequence under 1 other name. The record is from Rfam by way of RNAcentral. Lineage: Eukaryota; Viridiplantae; Streptophyta; Magnoliopsida; Malvales; Malvaceae.
AAUAGUUUUAUGCUACAUCAGUAUUCUUAUCCUGAAUUUCAGGAUUUUAAUUUGGAUUUUGUUUUUUUCAGGAUAAAAUCCUGAAAUUCAGGAUAAGAGUACUGAUGUGGCAUAAAACUAUU